This 539-nucleotide ribosomal RNA is filed under the name uncultured bacterium. RNAcentral's name for it is "bacterial SSU rRNA". It matches the Rfam family "Bacterial small subunit ribosomal RNA", at positions 42 to 552 of the family's 1533-position model. The record is from RNAcentral.
UCAGGCCUAACACAUGCAAGUCGAGCGCGAACGACCCCUUCGGGGGACUAGUAGAGCGGCGGACGGGUGAGUAAUACAUGGAUAAUCUCCCUUCGAGCUCGGGAUAACAGUGCGAAAGCGCUGCUAAUACCGGAUAAGACCACGAGGCCCAGGCCUUGCGGGAAAAGGUGGCUUUGUUUUCGGAUGAGGCUAUCACUUGAUGAUGAGUCCAUGGCCUAUCAGCUUGUUGGCGAGGUAACGGCUCACCAAGGCAAUGACGGGUAGCUGGUCUGAGAGGACGACCAGCCACACUGGGAUUGAGACACGGCCCAGACUCCUACGGGAGGCAGCAGUGGGGAAUAUUGGGCAAUGGGCGAAAGCCUGACCCAGCGACGCCGUGUGGGUGAUGAAGGCCUUCGGGUUGUAAAGCCCUGUUGGGUGGAAAGAAGGGCUUCUGGACGAAUAAUCCAGGAGCCUUGACGGUACCGCAAGAAUAAGCCCCGGCUAACUUCGUGCCAGCCGCCGCGGUAAUACGAAGGGGGCUAGCGUUGCUCGGAAUC